UCCAAGUACUGGAUGAAAUCAACUUGGAGGACGGCUUGUUGUGGGUUAGGGAAGCUUAAAAAACACAAGAAGGAAUGUUGACUGUGGAAGGAAGACGGAGGGAGAAUCCCCACAUGCAUGUGGAAGAAAUCCCAGCGGACCUGCAUCUCUACAAUUGGCAUGAUUGGUCCCCUUACUUGGAAAAGACCCAUGACGGCCAGCGUGGG
Molecule: long non-coding RNA, 206 nt
Organism: Poecilia reticulata (guppy)
Lineage: Eukaryota; Metazoa; Chordata; Actinopteri; Cyprinodontiformes; Poeciliidae
Source: RefSeq, a predicted model, not a curated record